This 424-nucleotide ribosomal RNA is filed under the name uncultured Anoxybacillus sp. RNAcentral's name for it is "bacterial SSU rRNA". It matches the Rfam family "Bacterial small subunit ribosomal RNA", at positions 962 to 1382 of the family's 1533-position model. The record is from RNAcentral. Lineage: Bacteria; Bacillati; Bacillota; Bacilli; Caryophanales; Anoxybacillaceae.
CGAAGAACCUUACCAGGUCUUGACAUCCCUGACAACCCGAGAGAUCGGGCGUUCCCCUUCGGGGGACAGGGUGACAGGUGGUGCAUGGUUGUCGUCAGCUCGUGUCGUGAGAUGUUGGGUUAAGUCCCGCAACGAGCGCAACCCUCGACCUUAGUUGCCAGCAUUCAGUUUGGGCACUCUAAGGUGACUGCCGGCUAAAAGUCGGAGGAAGGUGGGGAUGACGUCAAAUCAUCAUGCCCCUUAUGACCUGGGCUACACACGUGCUACAAUGGGCGGUACAAAGGGUCGCGAACCCGCGAGGGGGAGCCAAUCCCAAAAAGCCGCUCUCAGUUCGGAUUGCAGGCUGCAACUCGCCUGCAUGAAGCCGGAAUCGCUAGUAAUCGCGGAUCAGCAUGCCCGCGGUUCCGAAUACGUUCCGGGCCUU